RNAcentral lists this ribosomal RNA (415 nucleotides) under bacterium enrichment culture clone ALO1_GLFRUDD03GBERY. Its description in RNAcentral is "bacterial SSU rRNA". It matches the Rfam family "Bacterial small subunit ribosomal RNA", at positions 9 to 426 of the family's 1533-position model. The record is from RNAcentral.
GAGUUUGAUCUUGGCUCAGAUUGAACGCUGGCGGCAGGCCUAACACAUGCAAGUCGAGCGGAUGACGGGAGCUUGCUCCUUGAUUCAGCGGCGGACGGGUGAGUAAUGCCUGGGAAUCUGCCUGGUAGUGGGGGACAACGUUUCGAAAGGAACGCUAAUACCGCAUACGUCCUACGGGAGAAAGCAGGGGACCUUCGGGCCUUGCGCUAUCAGAUGAGCCUAGGUCGGAUUAGCUAGUUGGUGGGGUAAUGGCUCACCAAGGCGACGAUCCGUAACUGGUCUGAGAGGAUGAUCAGUCACACUGGAACUGAGACACGGUCCAGACUCCUACGGGAGGCAGCAGUGGGGAAUAUUGGACAAUGGGCGAAAGCCUGAUCCAGCCAUGCCGCGUGUGUGAAGAAGGUCUUCGGAUUGU